Molecule: long non-coding RNA, 574 nt
Organism: Orcinus orca (killer whale)
Lineage: Eukaryota; Metazoa; Chordata; Mammalia; Artiodactyla; Delphinidae
Exons: 3
Source: RefSeq, a predicted model, not a curated record
AGCAACCAUUUGUUGCAACCAAUCUUUGGGAAUAUUUUAAGUCUAAUGUAUUUAUGGACUAGGGUAGUUGGAAAAGGUUAAAUUUCAGUUCUGGCAUCUAAAAUUAUUCAGAAUAAGCUCACAUAUGAACCAGCUCAUCAGCCCCUAACUAGGUUUACAUUCUGGGAUUUUCUCAAUCCAAAAUUUCUAAAAGAUCACAUUUACCUAAAUCCAAAAUUUCUGCUUGGCAUAGAAUGCCUAAAUGUCCCAUUUGAAUUUGAAAGAGUAUACCUCUCUCUCUGAAGUCUUACGUUUAUGUACGUCAUUAUACUCAAACUUCCUUUUUGUUUACCCAGAACAUUCCCCAUCCUUGAUGCUGGUUCAAUCUGGGAUGGAGACAGUGCCUUGAUCAGGUCAAGAAUGAGACUUCAUGUGCUGGAAGGAGGAAGGAACAUAUAUGAUGAUCGUUUAACAUACUGGCUAAAAGGGAAGUAGUUUCCUGGGGAGAGAGAUGAAUUUAUGAACCCCCAUUGAAUUAGGUUACUGUCUACUCUUACUGAGAAAUCAAUUACUACCACUUUGUGGGAGCACAUCU